GCAGUGGUGGUUCAGUGGUAGAAUUCUCGUCUUCCAUGCAUGUAGGAGACCAUGGUUCAAUUCCUGUCCAAUGCA
This 75-nucleotide transfer RNA is filed under the name Loxodonta africana (African savanna elephant). It matches the Rfam family "tRNA". Rfam says of the family: Transfer RNA (tRNA) molecules are approximately 80 nucleotides in length. The record is from Rfam by way of RNAcentral. Lineage: Eukaryota; Metazoa; Chordata; Mammalia; Proboscidea; Elephantidae.